This 353-nucleotide long non-coding RNA is filed under the name Brassica rapa (field mustard). RNAcentral's name for it is "long non-coding RNA (BRAP_LNC001239)". Lineage: Eukaryota; Viridiplantae; Streptophyta; Magnoliopsida; Brassicales; Brassicaceae. The record is from RNAcentral.
AUUACAUAAGGCCAGAUUGGCUUCCCUCCAUUCACUUGCUCUCCGAGAGACCUUGCUAUGUCCACUAUGUGAUUAAGCGCCCCAUCAACAAACUCGUGAAUAUGAGGCCAGAGUGACUCCUUUGGUAUGUACCUGAAAAAACAUGAGUAUUAGAGAAACUAGAUGCUCUUUCUUUCUAUAUAAAGAAAGAAUUUGGAUAUGUGAUAGUACUUGUCUCGAGAACCGCAGGGGAUGCGGAUAAUGUAGGAACCACAGCUUCCGCUACCUUCUGGAGGGCAUGAUAACAUCUCAACUGGCUCUCCAUAGCUUGAGUCAACCUCUGGUGAACUGAUUUGCCGUGUUAAGAGGUCGAC